Molecule: long non-coding RNA, 901 nt
Filed under: Homo sapiens (human)
Lineage: Eukaryota; Metazoa; Chordata; Mammalia; Primates; Hominidae
Description: novel transcript
Source: RNAcentral
ACUUAGUGAGUUUCCCUUUGUGACUUGGAAGUUGUGGGAAGGGAGAAUCAGUCAGGAAAUGAGGUGUCAGUAGGCUCUUUAGCAAACUCAGCCAGUAGAUGGCUAAAAAAGGACUUGGUUACUUUGGGUCCAUUUUGUCUAUCCAUGGGAUACGACCAUGAGCGCGGGGAAGAGCUCUCUACCUGAGCAUGUGGACUGAAAAGAGUAGAACCUUGGGGGAUCCUGAAGGAAGAGGGGAAACCAGGAAAACAGAGGAAGUUAACUUAGGAGGGGUAAGGGAAGAAGAAUGCAAGAUUGACGUUGCAGAAGCCAGAGGCCAGGGCUAAGAACAGGAGCCUGUGAACUUGUUGUUUCUGAAAAAGGAGUCAGUUGCUAUUGGAAUAUUAUUUAAGGAGACACAUGUCAAUGCCAUUCUACAAAAAUGACACUUGACCCUGGAACUCAGCUUGGCCAAACCUGCCUCCGAUCCAAAUUGUGUUCUCGGUUAUAACUUCAUCAAUGGCGUUUCUCCAAGGCCAAAGUCAAACCUCUGCCAGAGGAAGAUGUAAAUAUUCAGAGCAAAAUAUUGCAUACCUGGCCCACAUGAGUCACUUAUGAGGAAGAGGGAGUUAGUUCUAAGAAUAAUAAUUAUCUUUUGGGUGAGAUUUAAAUUCAGGUCCAGAGCAUCUCUUAGAAAACCAUGGAUACAAGCAGCUUGUUAACAGCAGUAUCAGGUUCUUGGAGUCUGUAUAAAAUCUGGCCCAUCGAUUCAAACAAAACUGGUAUGAAAUAGCAUUUCUCUUCAUGUCUGAGGUUCCAGUGGUGGUUGGCUUCCUUCUUAUUUCUUGCCGUGUGUGGCUGUUUUCUUGCCAGCCUCAGAUUAUGCACUUACGUGUUUUCCAAAAAAUCAAAACCAUUUCCA